This 253-nucleotide ribosomal RNA is filed under the name uncultured bacterium. RNAcentral's name for it is "partial 16S ribosomal RNA". It matches the Rfam family "Bacterial small subunit ribosomal RNA", at positions 524 to 776 of the family's 1533-position model. The record is from RNAcentral.
UACGUAGGCAGCAAGCGUUGUUCGGAAUUACUGGGCGUAAAGAGUGUGUAGGCGGUGCUCUAAGUUUGGUGUGAAAUCUCCCGGCUCAACUGGGAGGGUGCGCCGAAAACUGGAAUGCUUGAACAUGGGAGAGGAAAGCGGAAUUCCUGGUGUAGCUGUGAAAUGCGUAGAUAUCAGGAGGAACACCUGCGGUGUAGACGGCUUUCUGGACCAUUGUUGACGCUGAGACACGAAAGCGUGGGUAGCAAACAGG